RNAcentral lists this long non-coding RNA (317 nucleotides) under Dromaius novaehollandiae (emu). Its description in RNAcentral is "lncRNA (ENSDNVG00000001463.1)". Lineage: Eukaryota; Metazoa; Chordata; Aves; Casuariiformes; Dromaiidae. The record is from RNAcentral.
GCACUGAGACAUUGUCAACAGAAGGGUUUUUUUUUUCUUUUCCAGGUCAGUCCAUUUCGUUCGAUGAUAGAACAGUACUGUGUUUUGCGACUAACAGUAUAAUCUCACAGAGGGAGAACAUGCUAUUGAGAGUUCAGACCCGAGUCCUGAUGCUUCAAUACAUGCAAAGGACCAUACUGUUUUUCCGUGAUGCUGAGGCCUUCUGGAGUAGUCCACCAUCUGCAAGACUGCUAACAGAUCAACUGCUUUUGAAGCCCAGGAAAAAAAGAACUUGGACAAACAAGACUCCAACCAUUUUGAUCUACUACAAUCUGAAU